This is a long non-coding RNA of Gallus gallus (chicken), 3950 nucleotides long. The record is from Ensembl. Lineage: Eukaryota; Metazoa; Chordata; Aves; Galliformes; Phasianidae.
CUAACCCUAAAAGUCUAACCCUAAAAGUCUAACCCUAAAAGUCUAACCCUAAAAGUCUAAGUCUACCACCUAACACCUAAGUCUAACCCAAUGUCUCACAGUCUACCUUACCUUCACACCUACCUGUUGCACUUAGCUUCAAGUGGGAUCUGUGACCUGGUAAUGUUGAAUCAAGGCACACCACUGAAUUAGAUUGCACAAGUAUUUGUUCAUUACAGCACUGUUUCCUCAAGACAUGACUCAUACAAUUGUAUGCACACUACAGCAAUGCCUACAUGUUGACAAACAAAACAUGAAUACACUGAUUCCAUACAAUUGCAAGACACCGUUUACAGGCGCAGCACCCGCGCACUCCAUACAUUUUAAGGCAUGGUUUACAUAUAACACAUAUGUCCGAUUCACAAGACAAAGGUCACAAAGCCUCCAUAUCCAAUAAAUAACAUUACAUUUACACUAAUAUUGUGUACUGCAACCCACCUCAAGAGCAGAGCACAUCUCAGCCCACCUGAAGUAAAUGCAAGCCUCAGACUGGCCGGGAAGGAGCGCAAAUGGGCUCUGUUGGUUACGGGGUUGGGUUAGCCCUGCGGUACAAACAAACAAAGCAAAGCUAACCCAACCCCGUAAGCAAGGCUAAGCUAAAGCCAAUUUGGCUGAGAUCAAUUGAUUGCAAAGCUAAAGCCAAUUUGGGCAAGACAAAUUGACUGCACCUGCCAAAAUCGGCACAACUCUCAGAAUGGCCGCAAAGGGGCGCGAGUCUCAGACUGGCCGGGAAGGAGCGCAAAUGGGCUCCAAUGGCCUCAGGCGUUGGUUACGGGGUUGGGUUAGCCCUGCGGUACAAACAAACAAAGCAAAGCUAACCCAACCCCGUAAGCAAGGCUAAGCUAAAGCCAAUUUGGCUGAGAUCAAUUGAUUGCAAAGCUAAAGCCAAUUUGGGCAAGAUCAGUUGAUUGCAAAGCUAAAGCCAAUUUGGGCAAGAUCAAUUGAUUGCAAAGCUAAAGCCAAUUUGGGCAAGAUCAAUUGACUGCACCUGCCAAAAUCGGCACAACUCUCAGAAUGGCCACAAAGGGGCGCGAGUCUCAGACUGGCCGGGAAGGAGCGCAAAUGGGCUCCGAAGGCCUCGGGCGUUGGUUACGGGGUUGGGUUAGCCCUGCGGUACAAACAAACAAAGCAAAGCUAACCCAACCCCGUAAGCAAGGCAAAGCUAAAGCCAACUUAUUUGCAAUGCAUUAACUGCAAAGCUAAAGCCAAUUUGGUUGAGAUAAAUUAUUUGUAAAGCUAAAGCCAAUUGGGUUGAUGCAAAAUGACUGCACGCGCUGAAAUCAGUGUGACUCUCAGCAUGGCCGUGAGUCUCAAACAGCCUGGAUGGAGUGCGAAUGGUCCCUGUCCAGCUACGGGAUGUCAGUUACGGGAUUAGGGUCAGCCACGCUAGCAAUCUCAAAGCGAAGGUGACCCAACCCCCUGAGUGAGGCAAAGCCUUUGAUGUGCUAUCCCUCAAAAUUCUCUGAAAGAUUGCAGCCGGCUACUUGGACGGGUACGCUGCUUGCUAGAUGAAGAAGUAGCUGAACCGCCUGGCCUAAUGAGUGCUGCUCCAUCGUGUUAAAUGCAGCUGGUAUGCCAUCCUGAGUGCUCUUCAGGCCUGUUCUGUCCAAUAUCUUCAUUGAAGACCUGCCUGAUGGCAUGGAGUGCACCUUUGGUAAGUUUGCUGAGGGUGUUGCAUCAGAUUAGCACUAUGUUUGGAGUUCAGAGCUCAUUAGGAUUGGGGUGAAGGUAUAAGGGUUAGGUUUAUUAGGGUUAUGCUCAAAGGGACUGGUAGGGAAGGCCAAGGCAAAGGCAACAACACCCGAGGGAACACCAAAACCGAGGGCAAAGGCAUAGACAACAACCAAGGGAAGGCAACGUCAAAGGCACAGUGAAAGCAAAGGUAUGGAGAACACCAAAGAGAAGACCUCCUCAGAGGGCAGGCCCAAAGAGAGGGCCUCAGAGAACAAAACAGAGACCAAAGAGAACACCGUGGCAAGGCCAAAAUGGAGGGCGAGGUCCAUGAGAACGCUGCAGGGAAGGCCGAUGCAGGAGGCCAAGGGCAAUGGCCAAAGAGAAUGCAGCACAGAAGGCCAAAACCAAAGACCGAAGAGAACGCUGUAGGGAAUGCCAAAACAAGAAGGCCAAAGGCAAAGGCCAAACAGAACGCAACAAGGAAUGCCAAAACCAAAGGCCAAAGAGAUCGUCGCAGAGAAUGCCACGACAGGAGGCUGAAAGGAGCACGGCAAAGAAGGCCAAGGGCAAAGGUCAAAGAGAACAUGGAAGGCAACGCCAAAGAGAAUGUGGCAAAGGCGGUCAAACGCAAUGGCCAGGAGAACGUGGCAUGGAUGGCAAAAACAUAAGGCCAAAUAGAACACUGCAUGGAACACCAGAAGUGAUGGCCAAAGAGAACGCAGCAGGGAAUGCCAAAACCGGAGGCCAAAAAGAAUGCCGCAAAGAAGGCCAAAGGCAAUGGCCAAGAGAACAUGACAAGGAAUGCAAAAACAAGAGGACAAGAGAAUGUAGUAGGGAACGCCAAGGGCAAAGGGAAGGAGAACACCACCGUGAAAGGCCAGAGCCAAGGAGAACGUGCAAAGAAUAGGACGGGCAGCCUUUGGGGAACCCUGAAGUGCAGAAAGGAGCUCUGGGAACCCUACCUUGUGUCUCACUCAGUAAGGGGUAAACACUGGUGGGUGUGCAUUGUCCUUACCUGCUGGCAGACAAUUACCAGUCAGCAAAGUGGAGCUCCAGGGCAUCCCGGGAAAUGCAGCUUUCGGUUCCUGGCUGUUCCCGUGAAGACCCGCACAUCUCUCCGUGCAGUCCUUACAGCACUCGGGAGCGCUGCAGCUCUCUGCUGCCACCUGUUGGACACAAUGCAGGAAUGAAGGCGCUGCCCCGCAUAUGUAGGGCUGCACCCUGCGUGCAUUGCUCUAUAGGAUGACGCAAGGGAGUAUUAGGAAUAUAAUAAAUGCUAUGCAUAAGUUUGAAGUUACAAUUAGCUUAACAAUUGUUUUCCACACUAUGAUUAGGAUUAAGGGUACUGUGACAGAAAACAAGCGGCAUUAUUUUUAUUGCAGCAUUUAGGUUAAGAGACAUUUUUAAUAUUGGCUUAAUAGUUAGGUUUACAUAUACACUGUGGGUUAACAUAAUUAUCAUUAGAGCUCACAUUAAGCUACGGGUUCAGGUCAAGAUUAACAUUCACGCUGCCUCCCAGCCAAUCCCAGAGAGCCAAAGAAAAAAGGCAAGCUGAACUCCCACCGAAAGCCAAGGUAAAGGCAAAGCAAACAGCCAAGGCAGAAGGCUGAGAGAAGGUGGCUGGGAACACCAGAACACGAUGCCAAAGAGAACGCCGCAGGAAUUGCCCAAACAGGAGGGCAAGAGAACAUUGCAGGGAACGCCAAAACUGAAUGCUGAAGAGAACGUGGCAGAAGAAAAACAAGUUCAAUAGCCAAGAGAAUGUGGCAUGGAACGCAAAAACAGGAGGGCAAGGGAACGCCUAGGUAAGGGCCAAGAGAAUGCGGAAGGAAAUGCCAAGGAAAUGGCCAAGAGAACACGACAAGAAACGCCAAAACAGAAGGGCAAGAGAGCACUGCAGGGAACGCCAAAACUGAAUGUUGAAGUGAAUGUGGCCAAGAAAGUCAAGGGCAAUGGCCAAGAGAACAUGACAAGGAAUGCAAAAACACGAGGGCAAGAGAAUGCAGUAGGGAACGCCAAGGGCAAAGGGAAGGAGAACACCACCGUGAAAGGCCAGAGCCAAGGAGAAUGUGCAAAGAAUAGGACGGGCAGCCUUUGGGGAACCCUGAAGUGCAGAAAGGAGCUCUGGGAACUCCACCUUGUGUCUCACUGAGUAAGCGGUAAACACUGGUGGGUGUGCAUUGUCCUUACCUGCUGGGCAGACAAUUACCAGUCAGCAAAGUGGAGCUCCAGGGCAU